GUAAGUAUAGUUUAAUUAAAAUGCCAGAUUGUGAUUCUGAAGACGGGGGUUAAAACCCCCCUACUCACC
Molecule: transfer RNA, 69 nt
Filed under: Blenniella gibbifrons (hump-headed blenny)
Lineage: Eukaryota; Metazoa; Chordata; Actinopteri; Blenniiformes; Blenniidae
Description: tRNA-His
Rfam family: tRNA
About the family: Transfer RNA (tRNA) molecules are approximately 80 nucleotides in length. Their secondary structure includes four short double-helical elements and three loops (D, anti-codon, and T loops). Further hydrogen bonds mediate the characteristic L-shaped molecular structure. tRNAs have two regions of fundamental functional importance: the anti-codon, which is responsible for specific mRNA codon recognition, and the 3' end, to which the tRNAs corresponding amino acid is attached (by aminoacyl-tRNA synthetases). tRNAs cope with the degeneracy of the genetic code in two manners: having more than one tRNA (with a specific anti-codon) for a particular amino acid; and 'wobble' base-pairing, i.e. permitting non-standard base-pairing at the 3rd anti-codon position.
Source: RNAcentral